GCCCUUGUAGCUCAGCUGGUAGAGCGCGUCCUUGGUAAGGACGAGGUCGGCGGUUCAAAUCCGCUCGGGGGCUCCA
This 76-nucleotide transfer RNA is filed under the name Puniceicoccales bacterium. RNAcentral describes it as "tRNA-Thr". It matches the Rfam family "tRNA". From Rfam's summary of the family: Transfer RNA (tRNA) molecules are approximately 80 nucleotides in length. Lineage: Bacteria; Pseudomonadati; Verrucomicrobiota; Opitutia; Puniceicoccales. The record is from RNAcentral.